This is a non-coding RNA of Glycine soja, 120 nucleotides long. NCBI's taxonomy places the organism in Eukaryota, Viridiplantae, Streptophyta, Magnoliopsida, Fabales, Fabaceae. The record is from Rfam.
UUCUGAUUGAACGAUGACUGUCACGUGUCAUAUUCUGAUUGACUAAUGAUAACAACAAAGCAUUUCAUCGUCCAUAGAGUCGACAUUCAAUCAGAAUAUGACACGUGACCAUCAAUAUUC